GUAGGGAAUCUUCCACAAUGGACGCAAGUCUGAUGGAGCAACGCCGCGUGAGUGAAGAAGGUUUUCGGAUCGUAAAGCUCUGUUGUUGGUGAAGAAGGAUAGAGGCAGUAACUGGUCUUUAUUUGACGGUAAUCAACCAGAAAGUCACGGCUAACUACGUGCCAC
RNAcentral lists this ribosomal RNA (165 nucleotides) under uncultured bacterium. RNAcentral describes it as "partial 16S rRNA". It matches the Rfam family "Bacterial small subunit ribosomal RNA", at positions 354 to 511 of the family's 1533-position model. The record is from RNAcentral.